CGCGCGCACCGUUUUACAUCCGGGUCCAGCGACUCCUCCCUCUCCCGCCGCCGCUCCGGACGCUUGGGGGCCGCCCCCCCGCCGGCUGGCCGGCGCCGGGUGCUCCAAUGAGAGCGGCUGCCUCUGCCUGCCUCGCGGAGCCCGAGGCCCGGCCCUGCGUGCGCGAGUCCGGCAGCGGGCGAGGAUGAUGCCGGCUCUGGCCGCCCAGAGGCGGGGAUGGCGCUGCCUCAACCGGCUGUACCUGCGGUGCCCGGCGGCGCAGCUCAGCCGGGUCUGCCACGGAUGGCAAGGCUCAAUGAAAUGUGGAAGUCUCUCUCACAUACUGCCAUGCAGUCGUCUACCAGUCCAGUCACUGAGUCAAGUGAGAGUUUACACCUCUGAUGGUCAGAAAAAAGGCCCUGUACCAGGCCCUGAAGGAGCUGUGCACAAACCUGGAACAGCACGGGAUACCAGCAGUGCAGGCCCAAAACCACUUUUAUUGCAAGAGCCAAUCCAAGUAAAAGUUAAAGCAGUUCUUAAAAAGAGAGAGUAUGGACCAAAGUACACACAAAAUAAUUUCAUCACUGGUGUCAGAGCAAUAAAUGAGUUCUGUCUUAAAUCCAGUGAUCUAGAACAGCUGAGGAAAAUCAGACGACGAAGUCCCCAUGAUGAUACUGAAGCUUUCACUGUAUUUUUGAGAUCAGAUGUAGAGGCAAAAUCUCUAGAAGUUUGGGGAAGCCCGGAGGCUCUUGCUAGAGAGAGAAAACGGCGUAAAGAAGCAGAGAUAGAAUACAGAGAAAAUCUGUUUAGAAACCAAAAGCUGUUAAAGGAGUACAAAGAUUUUCUUGGGGAUACUAAGCCACGCUCCAGCACAGCCGGUAUGUUGCUCAAAGGACCAGGAAAGGUGGUGAUGGUUGCUAUUUGCAUAAAUGGGUUGAAUUUUUUCUUUAAACUACUCGCUUGGGUUUACACGGGUUCUGCAAGCAUGUUUUCAGAAGCUAUACAUUCUUUAGCAGACACUUGCAACCAGGCUUUGCUAGCAUUGGGCAUCAGUCAGUCUGCAAGGACACCAGACCCUAGUCAUCCGUAUGGCUUCACAAAUAUGCGCUAUAUUGCCUCCCUAAUUAGUGGGGUCGGCAUUUUCAUGAUGGGUGCAGGACUUUCCUGGUAUCAUGGAAUCAUGGGUUUACUUCAUCCUCAGCCCAUGGAAUCUCUUCUUUGGGCUUAUUGUAUCUUAGCAGGAUCACUGGUGUCUGAAGGAGCUACCCUUCUUGUUGCUAUAAAUGAAAUUCGAAGGAGUGCCCGGGCCAAGGGUCUAUCAUUUUAUCAAUAUGUCAGGAUGAGUCGUGAUCCCAGUACAAAUGUGGUGUUGUUGGAGGAUGCUGCAGCAGUUUUGGGUGUGACGUUAGCUGCUACUUGCAUGGGUCUGACUUCUUUAACAGGCAACCCUUACUAUGACAGCCUGGGAUCUCUAGGUGUGGGAACUUUGUUGGGAGCUGUAUCAGCUUUUCUCAUCUACACCAAUACAGAAGCAUUGCUGGGACGAUCCAUUAAUCCUGAGCAAUUACAGCGACUUACUGAGUUACUGGAGAGUGACCCCGUCGUUAGAGCAAUUCAUGAUGUUAAAGCCACAGACAUGGGAUUGAGCAAAGUGAGAUUCAAGGCAGAAGUAGACUUUGAUGGACGGGUUGUGACUCGUUCUUACCUGGAAAAGCAAGACAUUGAACAGCUGCUACAAGAAAUUCAGCAGGUGAAAACUCUUGAGGAAUUAGAAGCCUUCAUGCUUAAACAUGGAGAGAAUAUCAUUGACACACUGGGAGCUGAAGUAGACCGGCUUGAAAAGGAGCUAAAGCAACGCAAUCCUGAUGUUCGACAUGUAGAUUUGGAAAUAUUGUAGAUUUGACAGAAGAAAUCCGUGGAGUACUUUCUUUUGGAAACAAGUUUUGCACAGAGAUGGAACAGCUAUUGAAACUGCAGUCACUUCAAUACCAUACCUCAUUUACUUCAUGCUGUAGGCUUCCUGAACUGUUGUUACUGAAUCAGUUUCCAGAACAGCUUUAGAUUCAGAGUCAACAACUUUGUAUAGAAGAUCAGUUCAACAAAAGCUACUUAGCAUAAUUUCUACAUGAGACUGUUGGAGAACUAUGAAAAAGUGAGCUGGAUUCUGUUGCUUCUGUCUUCAACAAGAUUGACUAAAUUCCAAUUGUUUACAUCUUUGCAAUCGCUUUGGAGGCUGUAGGUUUGCACAGGCCUCAUUAAGAAUCUAAUUUUAUUUGCAAAGACACUUUCAUUGGUGGCAAUGCAUGAGGAAAGACCCCAGUUUGGUACUGAGAGCCCAGCAUGGGUUUUCAUGGCUUGCAUUCAGUUAAAACGUCUUCUACAUUGAGCAUGACUGAUAACAGAAAUUGGCCUAAUAAACUUGGUACUUCGAGAAGGGAAUCACACUUUAAAGUGGCAGCAAUUUAAAAUAUAUGUGCAGAUUGCUGUUAAUAUUUUUUUAGUGAAAACUGUUACUUGGAUUUAAGCUACAGUAUUUUCAUGGUCUAAAGAAUGGGUUGAACUAGUUCCAGGAUUUGGUUUAGCCUCGUUACAGUACUCUGGACGGAAGAUUUUUGAGAUAGUUUCUGUGAUAGGAUAUUUUGGAUUAAAGUAAAUUUGCAAAGUACCGAGGAAUUGGGUGUUUUCUUCAUGAACUAUAGAUGUGACACCUUAACAUGUCCCUUAAUAUUACCUCUGAUUUGAAAGAGUGGUAAAAUCAAUGGAGCAAGGAAUCCGCUAAAAUUAAAAUGUUUAUUCUAGGAUUUUUUUUCAAUAAUUUUUCCUCUAUUGUCUCUUAAAGCCAUGGAAUAUAUUUAUUUUUAGAGAUUCUGUUGCCCUUACAGCCUUUAUUUUGCAAAACAAGAUUCAGACAACUCUAUCCAUUUAUUUUGUGGGAAAUACAUUCUCUUUAGUUGCAUGAUGCUUCAUAAUUCAAUCUGGUUAACAUUAAGGUAAUGCUGAUUGACAGGAUAUAUUUUGAGGAAAGAGUCUAACCACUGCAACCACUGAGGGCUCACAGUUUUACGGUCUCAUUGGAUUCCUCUUUAUUCUUGGACUUCUAUGUAGACUUCCUGAAUACUUUGUUUUCUGAUGCUGGACAUGAGAUUGUAUCCUUUCCCCUUCAGAUGGGACCUUCACUAUGGUUAUCUAUAGUUGUAAUCUCAAGGCUUUGUUGGGGCUAAUCCAACAAAGCUCUACUUGGGGCUAAUCUUGAAGGCUAUCCAGAAACUUCAGCUGGUACAAUAUAUGUGCCGCGCCUCACAGUUGAGUAGGGCAGACUGGCAGGAGUAUAUUGUACUUAUGCGCUGAACUUCAGAUUGACUCCCAGUUCACAGUGGAAUUUAAUUCAAGAUGCUGGUCACUAUCUAUUAAGCCCUAAAUGGUGUAAGCCUCGGUUGUCUGAUAUUGUUCCACCUGGGCUCAACAUAAGCUCUUCAGCUUUUUCUGUCGCAAGGGUUAAGGUCACAGGACCCCGACGUUCUCAGUGGUUGUCCACCUCUUCAAUACUCACACAUGCUAGAAAAGUAUGUGGACUGCAUUCACAUUUGGAAUGUGACUUAGAUUAGUUUUCUGCUGACUGAAGGUCUGGGAUCUCUUGGCAUUUCAUCCUACUAGCAAGUUUGGUUCUGGUUUUUGUGAGAGAAUACGAUAAAUCUAACCUUUUGGAAGUGUGGCAAAACAUACUGUGAUGGGUGCACCAAAUCCAUGUAAGUCCCAAAAAUAGAGGAUAUUAUCAUCUUUGUAUAUGGCAGAAAGUUUGUCAUUUAUUUGAAAUUUCAUUUAAAUUAUCUUGUUCAUUCAUAAUUUGGAUUGAGGCAACUUUACAACAAAUGGAUGCACGGGAAUUUAUUGGGAUGACUUUGGGUUUGAUAGAAAAAUCUUUCUUGUGAUAACUUAUUCUCAUGGCAGUCAGGCCUAGCAGAAUAGAACGAUCAAUACUAGAGAGUACUGAUACCUGUGGUAAAACUAAAAAUGGCCUAUAAUUGCCCCAAAGUUUAUAUUGCUGAGGUGAGUUUAAAAUGAAAAUAUCAUUCUGUACCUUUAUUGCUGCGUACUAUGUUUUUGUGUUUUCUGUGUUUGUACUUUCUGAGUAUCGAGAAACCAACAGGUGAAUUGGAAUGAUAAUUCAUGUAAUUGGGCAUGUUGAGGCAUACUGAAAGAUUUUCCAGAAAGGGAGGAAUGCACCAUCAUCUUUUAAAUAGGUUAUUUUCCCACUGUUUAGUAAGGCAAAUAGAUAUUUAAUAGUUUAGGCUGUUUCACAUACUAAAAUAGAUGGAAAAAGAAUAUCAGUUCACUAUGGGUUAGAAUAGGGGUCUCAAACUCAAAUGACCACGAGGGCCACAUGAGGGUUAGUUCAUUGGCCCGAGGGCUGCAUCACUGACACCCCCCUCCACCCCUUCCAUGAG
Molecule: RNA transcript, 4424 nt
Organism: Mauremys reevesii (Reeves's turtle)
Lineage: Eukaryota; Metazoa; Chordata; Testudines; Geoemydidae
Gene: SLC30A9
Gene name: solute carrier family 30 member 9
Exons: 19
Source: RefSeq, a predicted model, not a curated record